This 23-nucleotide non-coding RNA is filed under the name Cricetulus griseus (Chinese hamster). Lineage: Eukaryota; Metazoa; Chordata; Mammalia; Rodentia; Cricetidae. The record is from RNAcentral.
GAGUGAAACUGUGGGCAAACAGU